UGUUAUUUAUCCACGCGGUGGAAACGUUUUGAAGUAAACUCGUAGUGUUAUACGUAUAGGUAUGCAUAAUGCAUAAGUUGAUUACCGAUUCUUUGAUAAUUGGAUUAAACAAUGAAAUCAGGACAGGUCACUGUAUCCGCUAUUGUGGAAUUCGCAAUGGCGACAGGCUUGACGACUCGUCGUCAAUGUAAUCGAAUUACGAUAAUGGCAAUGAAGAAAAACCUCUCUGUGUAAUUCAAUCCCAGCAUCGUUUUGACCGGUCUGUGUUGACGUAGUUUAAAAAUAAUCCAAUUACGCCAUACAAAUAGAGGAAAGUGAGCGAACGAGCGAGAGAGAAAGAGAGAAACAGAAAGAGAGAGAGAGAUGAUUCGAAUAAUUCAAUCAAUUUACUCAGAAUUUUCGAUAUACAACAAUCCUCGAAAAAAUUCCUGACGUGCGUGACAACGAGUAUUUGUUGUAUUCGGGUUCCGGGAUGCGUUAAAAGGACCAAAGUUUUACAUUAAAGGUCUGUCGAAUUUCGUUAAACAAUCGAAAACGAUUAGCAGACAUAUCCUGCUCGAAAUUCCGUAUCGUAUAUAGUUAUUGAUCGCGACAAGUAAAUAUAGUCGUUGAGAAAAAUAAUUUAAACGGAAAAGAAAAGAGUUUUUAUGCGCCAAGUUGAUAAUCGUCGUCAAGUUACGGGCCUUUUUAAUUCAAUUUCGACAAAUCAUCAGUACACGAGCUUCGCACAAGCGAAGCUGUGAACCGAUGGACUAUAGAUACAAAAAUAGAGAUAUAUAAAAAGUCGGAAAAAAAAUUUAUUCGCAGGCAGAACUGCUGACACGCUGCAUAUCCUAUUAAUUGUAUACACACUUAUAUACUUUAAGUUUAUGACAAAUGUUUGUUUAUUAUUAUUAUUACUACUAUUAUUAUUAUUAUUAUUAUUAUCAUUAUUGUUAAUGAAUCUAUUAUAAUUAUUAUACAAUAACGAGUCUAUUUACAAUACCGUUUAAAUUUUCUUAUUUUUCUUUCAUACCUUUCCCAUGUCGCGCAUUACGUUUGCAUUACGUUAUUAUUAUAUAUAUAUAUAUACAUAUAUAGACAUAGAUAUCAUGUCAUACAUAUUUACAACUACGAUAUGUACAAUCGUGAAUUAUUAUUUUGUUUUCUGCUUUUUUUUUACCGCUUUGCCAAGGUCUCGAUGAAUUUACAAGAGAGAUUAUGAGAAUUUUUAUCGUGCAACAAAAUUUUAUCAUAA
Molecule: long non-coding RNA, 1237 nt
Organism: Diprion similis
Lineage: Eukaryota; Metazoa; Arthropoda; Insecta; Hymenoptera; Diprionidae
Exons: 3
Source: RefSeq, a predicted model, not a curated record